Molecule: long non-coding RNA, 236 nt
Filed under: Nicotiana benthamiana
Lineage: Eukaryota; Viridiplantae; Streptophyta; Magnoliopsida; Solanales; Solanaceae
Description: long non-coding RNA (NBEN_LNC001161)
Source: RNAcentral
AGCAGCAUUAGCAACACCAGAUUUCCUCCCUUUGAAAGUUGUAUUUUGUGGAUAGCCAUGAAGUUUGAAGCAUUUAUCAAUUAAAUGUCCAGACUUCUUACAGUAUCUAGAGAACAACAACCCUCUACCUUGAUCAAAGUUGACUCUUUGUUUGAAGGAAGAGAAAGUAUUGAGCAUUGCAGCCUUAUUAGAGUCAACUGGCUUCCUGUUAGAGUAGGCAUUAAAAGAUACAGAAU